GGAGAGGUGUCCGAGAGGCCUAAGGAGUACGACUGGAAAUCGUAUAGGUGCCCACAAGGUGCCUCGAGGGUUCGAAUCCCUCCCUCUCCGCCA
Molecule: transfer RNA, 93 nt
Filed under: Nitrospinota bacterium
Lineage: Bacteria; Pseudomonadati; Nitrospinota
Description: tRNA-Ser
Rfam family: tRNA
About the family: Transfer RNA (tRNA) molecules are approximately 80 nucleotides in length.
Source: RNAcentral